GACGGAGGAUGCAAGCGUUAUCCGGAAUGAUUGGGCGUAAAGCGUCCGCAGGUGGCAGUUCAAGUCUGCUGUCAAAGACCGGGGCUUAACUUCGGAAAGGCAGUGGAAACUGAACAGCUAGAGUAUGGUAGGGGCAGAGGGAAUUCCUGGUGUAGCGGUGAAAUGCGUAGAUAUCAGGAAGAACAUCGGUGGCGAAGGCGGUUCUCUGGGCCUUACCUGACGCUGAGGAGCGAAAGCGUGGGGAGCGAACAGG
RNAcentral lists this ribosomal RNA (253 nucleotides) under uncultured bacterium. RNAcentral describes it as "partial 16S ribosomal RNA". It matches the Rfam family "Bacterial small subunit ribosomal RNA", at positions 524 to 776 of the family's 1533-position model. The record is from RNAcentral.